GAUGAACGCUGGCGGCGUGCCUAAUACAUGCAAGUCGAGCGAACAGACGAGGAGCUUGCUCCUCUGACGUUAGCGGCGGACGGGUGAGUAACACGUGGAUAACCUACCUAUAAGACUGGGAUAACUUCGGGAAACCGGAGCUAAUACCGGAUAAUAUAUUGAACCGCAUGGUUCAAUAGUGAAAGACGGUUUUGCUGUCACUUAUAGAUGGAUCCGCGCCGCAUUAGCUAGUUGGUAAGGUAACGGCUUACUAAGGCAACGAUGCGUAGCCGACCUGAGAGGGUGAUCGGCCACACUGGAACUGAGACACGGUCCAGACUCCUACGGGAGGCAGCAGUAGGGAAUCGUCCGCAAUGGGCGAAAGCCUGACGGAGCAACGCCGCGUGAGUGAUGAAGGUCUUCGGAUCGUAAAACUCUGUUAUUAGGGAAGAACAAAUGUGUAAGUAACUAUGCACGUCUUGACGGUACCUAAUCAGAAAGCCACGGCUAACUACGUG
This 497-nucleotide ribosomal RNA is filed under the name uncultured bacterium. Its description in RNAcentral is "partial 16S ribosomal RNA". It matches the Rfam family "Bacterial small subunit ribosomal RNA", at positions 28 to 507 of the family's 1533-position model. The record is from RNAcentral.